This 924-nucleotide ribosomal RNA is filed under the name Neoscytalidium hyalinum. Its description in RNAcentral is "LSU rRNA". It matches the Rfam family "Eukaryotic large subunit ribosomal RNA", at positions 74 to 1404 of the family's 3401-position model. The record is from RNAcentral. Lineage: Eukaryota; Fungi; Ascomycota; Dothideomycetes; Botryosphaeriales; Botryosphaeriaceae.
AUUGCCUCAGUAACGGCGAGUGAAGCGGCAACAGCUCAAAUUUGAAAGCUGGCCCCCCCGGGGGUCCGCGUUGUAAUUUGUAGAGGAUGAUUCGGCGAGGGCUCCCGCCUAAGUCCCCUGGAACGGGGCGUCAUAGAGGGUGAGAAUCCCGUAUGCGGUGGGCUGCCUUAGCCAUGUGAAUCUCCUUCGACGAGUCGAGUUGUUUGGGAAUGCAGCUCUAAAUGGGAGGUAAAUUUCUUCUAAAGCUAAAUACCGGCCAGAGACCGAUAGCGCACAAGUAGAGUGAUCGAAAGAUGAAAAGCACUUUGGAAAGAGAGUUAAAAAGUACGUGAAAUUGUUGAAAGGGAAGCGCUUGCAGCCAGACUUGUCCGCAGUUGCUCAGCCGGUCUCCUGACCGGCGCACUCUUCUGCGGCCAGGCCAGCAUCAGUUCGGGCGGUCGGAUAAAGGCCCCGGGAACGUAGCUCCUCUCGGGGAGUGUUAUAGCCCGGGGUGGAAUGCGGCCAGCCUGGACUGAGGAUCUCGCUUCGGCUAGGAUGCUGGCGUAAUGGCUGUAAGCGGCCCGUCUUGAAACACGGACCAAGGAGUCUAACAUCUAUGCGAGUGUUUGGGUGUCAAACCCAUGCGCGUAAUGAAAGUGAACGGAGGUGGGAACCCUCGCGGGUGCACCAUCGACCGAUCCUGAUGUCUUCGGAUGGAUUUGAGUAAGAGCAUAGCUGUUGGGACCCGAAAGAUGGUGAACUAUGCCUGAAUAGGGUGAAGCCAGAGGAAACUCUGGUGGAGGCUCGCAGCGGUUCUGACGUGCAAAUCGAUCGUCAAAUUUGGGUAUAGGGGCGAAAGACUAAUCGAACCAUCGACUACUAGGUGGUUAAGAGUGGCUGAAAGUGCCCACCUAGUCCCCCGUCCUCGGACGGGGGGGCGACUUC